Molecule: long non-coding RNA, 4232 nt
Filed under: Lactuca sativa (garden lettuce)
Lineage: Eukaryota; Viridiplantae; Streptophyta; Magnoliopsida; Asterales; Asteraceae
Description: long non-coding RNA (LSAT_LNC008369)
Source: RNAcentral
AAAUUUUAGGCUUAUAGCAAGGGUUUUGCGACGGAUCUAAGAUGUUUUAGACAAUUAUUUUAUUUAUUCAACAUAUAGAAUAUUAACGAGGAUUUAGCGAGGGAUCAUCUACAGAUCUCACAAUUGUUUAUCGACGCACCCCCCCAUUCCUUGUUGAUCCGUUGAAGAUGAAGGCGUUUAGUGAGGGCUUCAACGAUGGAUAGAAAAAUAGUUGAUUUUUGCCAUCAUGGAACGCUUUUUGCGAGAGAACGCCGAUGGAAGCUAUAUUUUGGUACGUGCAUUUUGUUUUUUCUAUCGAUGAUAUCUGGUUGAAAUUGGUGCAACUUGAUUCAAGUUUCACAAAAUUGGUGUAAGUUUCCUUCCCUCCCAAAUUUGCUUUAUCACUCUGGAGUAAGUUUCAUCCUAUCUGUUAACCUAAUUUCAUCCUCUCUGUUCAAACAAAUGACGACACCACUCACCAUUGCAGAUUCCGAUUCCGGUAACCGCCACACCGACCAUAAAAUCAAGAAAAUCUGAAAUUAGUCUUCGUUAACUUUCCGAUUCAAGUAAAUCUCUUGAUUUUCUUUGAUCUAGUUACAUAUUAGUUACGUUUAGUUCAGAUGCACAAAAUAUUCUUUAAGUAUAAUUUCCCCCUUCUUUUCUUUUUCAAUCAUCAUCCAUCUCAAAUCUGAGCAUUUCUUGUACGAAUCACCUUGAAUCAUAGCCAUAUGAAAGGCAUUCUUCUUUAUCAACAAGUUAAAUUCUAAAAACUAGAGUUGUUUCCUUACUUUGGUACCCUAGGUAUGACAUCGAUUGCUAAUUAUCUCUUUGACAGCAUCUAUGUGUACUUCUUCACAAGGUAUCUGCAUCAUGUAAUUAAUACAUUAAAACAUUUAACUAUAUGAUCAAUUGAUCAUUUAAGUGAAACAUACAUGUAAAUAGUAUUAUUCAAAACCUAAGAUACACAUACCUGUAAAUAGUAUUCAUGCUCCCAAACGUCUAUGCUAACAAGAGGAACCAAACUUGCACCAUUUGUAACCAUAGGUCCUGCAUCACAACCAAAUACAUGCUUAAUAAUCUAAUUUGUCAACUAUACUUUGUAACUGUAGAAAAACCUACAUAAUUUACUCAAUAAAAUGCAUAACAGGAUUUGUUAUAAUAUCGUUUAUUACCAUGUGGAAGUAUCUCCUGAGACUGAGACUUAGGAAGGGGUAUUUAAUAUUCCAACCAUAUUUUGACAAUACUAUGUUAUUAAGGUUGUCCAACUUGGAAGAUAAUCUCAAAGAUAUUUUGUUUACUUUUUCGUUUUGUCUAAUUUUUAUCCCAUUUUUAGUAGAGUGUUUGGGAUACCAACUUGACAUUCAAAGUAUGAUUAAAAAUUGAUUAUCGAUCAAUCUAAUGAUUAUUAGGUGUGGUUUUUAAUUGUAAAGGUAGUUUUCUACGUUAAACUUCAUAAUGAUUCAAAAUAACUUGUUUUAGUUGACCAAAAAAUGAUUCCUUGGAUUUGAAAGUGUAGGGCAUGAAGGUUUUGAACACAUUUUUCUAUGUCCCAUGAAAAUUGCAAAAUGAUGUAAAUACCUUCAUCAUAAACAAAACUUGACCAACGUGUAGGUAAAUCGGUAAAAUUCAACUUUGAAAGUCGUCAAAAAUGUAAUGUUUGUGAUUUUCAUGGGGUACAUGGGGUAUAACAUUUUUAUUUUGGCCUAUGGUUAGAGGAGUAAGAUGGUAAUUUUAAUUUGUGGUUCUCAAUUUCAGGCUUUCUAGUCCAGGGUCUAAAGUAGCUAUUGUGUUGGCUAACGUUUCCUUCCUUAUAUACACAAUAUAUAUAAAAAAAUAUCAAAGUGCAUAGAUGGUAAAUUGUUUAUGGAUUCCAUUAUUAUUCGUUGGAAUGGAGUUAAAGAUUUUAUUCUUUUGAGGUUUACCAAUUUUAAGCCAAUUUUAGGUUGCUAAGUUAUAUCAUCAUCCUGGAAACACAAAAGCUUCUUCUGAAAAAAAAGUAUUAUUCCACUCAAAAACAUGUGUUCCUAAGUCAAUCAUAACUUUGAAUGCUGGAAUAACUGUACUCGAUGCAUAGUCCCCUGCAGCUAAUGGUUGUUGAUUCCAAAAAACAGUAACAUCCUACAAGAUUGUCAAAAAGACGUAAAUACCCUCAUCAUUGGAAAAUGGAAAUGACUAUGGAAAACUCAUCUUACCAUGUUUUCUUUAAGUAUAUGAUAAUCACAUAAUGUCAUGUCACUAGAUGAUAAACUAAGUGUCUAAUGAGUUGAUUAAGAAUGGAUUACCAUAUCUUCCAACUUGAAACUAAAAUAAGCACAUAAUACACAUGGUUUGGGUGUCGUUGAGAUUAUCAUGACUGCACUUUCUAAUACAUGCCAAGCCAUCUAAGCCUUCACCAUUGAGUUGAUUAGCUUAGAGAAAAUUAUAUUUAUAACAUUUUCUAUGUUAUUGAGCCAAAUAUAUCUGCAAUUUAUCUAACAAAUCUUUUAUGAGCUAGUCUUUCAUCAACUUCAGCUAGUUCACUCUGUAUGUUUAUGUAGAAGAAGAUAUGUUCCAUGUAAUAGGAAAAACAAAACAACUUUAUGUCCUAAACUAUGGUUUUUAUUCCAACCAUGUUGGUAGAUAAAUCAUUCCCUUUCCUCUAAAUAGUUUUUGGAAGAUAUGGAGUUUAUUUUUCAGGCAUUUUCUUGUCUUAGGAGGUUGUUGGCAUAUUUUGAUUAUGAUAGUUAGUUUUGGAAGUGCUAUUUUUAAUGUUUACAGAGUUUUUCAUUAUAACAUAACGUUUGUUUUUAUGUUUUAUAUGCCUUAAAUUAUGUUUGUGGUAGUUCAUAUUUAAUUUAACAUAUUUCUUGGUUCAUUGAUAAGGAUUUUUUAGGUCCUACUUUAGCCAGAGUUUGAUAGAGAAGUAAUUCUCAAGCCUCUGUUUUCUUCUUUCUGCAACAUGUUUAUCUUUAUUUUCCUGAGUUUUCAUCUUCUACAUCAGACCUGUGUUUGAACCAUGUAAACAUAAUUUUCAAAAUAUAUAUAUAUNUAUAUAUAUAUAUAUGAUUUUUUUUGCUUCAGACUUUAUGCAAGGUUGCACAAUAAAAAGUAUACUCAAGAGUACAUUAAGCUAAAGGCACUUAAAGUUAAGGUAUUUCCAAUUAUAGAGUCAAAAAGUUUUGGAUACUUCAAUGUCCUAGUUUAAUUUUUAUAUUCAUUCAUCUUUCUAUUUUUUUUAUGUGAACCACUGCUAAUAUAUGUCAGAAAAUACAUUCAUUCUUUAAUUUNUACAUUGCUUUUCAAGAAAGGAAGAAUAUUAUGAUUUGCAUCUGUGUCUGAUCCAAUAAGCUUUUUGAAAGGAAUAACUAGUACAAUAACAUCCCAAUAGGUUCAUUUAAUUUUGUCCAUUAUAGUAUCCUAUCAUAACAUCGUAUUUUAUAAAAUUUUCCUAUUAUGACAUUGUACUUACAAAAUCUACCAUGUUGUAAAUUUUCCUAUCAUAACACUAUACUUUAUAAAAAUUUCUUACUCUGAUAUUGUACUUACCUAAAUACCAGAUUAUAACAUCUUAUAUCCAUGUUUUAACUGCAGACUGUGUAUGAAUAUAUACGAGAAGAGAUGUGUGGGUAAAUAGAGGCUAAAGUUGCAAAAAAUGGAAGCCAAACAUCAAAAAAUACAUUAGGAAAAUAUGAUCUUUUUGGAUGCUAUGGUAAAUUUUAAUAUUUGAUGUUUUUGGACGAUUUGAUAAACAUUGAUAUCUAUGUUUUUGGAUGAUUUGAUAGUUUUUGGUAUUGUAAUGUUAAUGUUUGGUUUUGGGUUUUAUAAUAUAUUUUUUUAUUUUUAGUGUUCUUUAAAUGUUAAAUGUUUGCUUUGGGAUUGAAUUAUUAGUUAAUGUUUUUUUAUAUAUUUUUUUAGAUUAAUAAUAAUAAUAAUAAUAAUAAUAAUAAUAAUAAUAAUAACUACAAAAGAUCCCCCACGUUGCGGGGGCCGGAAGGUAGCCCGUGAUGAACCACGGAUAACUUUUUUUAUUGGUUUUUUACAUAUAUACAAAUUUCUACUCCUUACUGAUACAGAUUUCUUCGAAAUAGAAUAGUGCAAAAAGUAAGGACUGUAAUUCUUUGAACUAUAUAUAGACGUGAACCUAAAUUGUCAAAAAUUUGUUACCGGCAUAUAAAAUGUAUAUGUUACAGAUAAUUAAAAUGAAAGUUGAAUGUUAUAGUGCUCUCUAACUCAUGUACAUGGCCAUUCUUGGAGUUAAGCCCCUGAUUCCUUUC